CUGCCGUCACUCGAAGAUGGAUCCGCGGCGCAUUAGCUAGUUGGUAAGGUAACGGCUUACCAAGGCGACGAUGCGUAGCCGACCUGAGAGGGUGAUCGGCCACACUGGGACUGAGACACGGCCCAGACUCCUACGGGAGGCAGCAGUAGGGAAUCUUCCGCAAUGGACGAAAGUCUGACGGAGCAACGCCGCGUGAACGAUGAAGGUCUUCGGAUCGUAAAGUUCUGUUGUUAGGGAAGAACAAGUGCCAGAGGAAAUGCUGGCACCUUGACGGUACCUAACCAGAAAGCCCCGGCUAACUACGUGCCAGCAGCCGCGGUAAUACGUAGGGGGCAAGCGUUGUCCGGAAUUAUUGGGCGUAAAGCGCGCGCAGGCGGUUCCUUAAGUCUGAUGUGAAAGCCCACGGCUCAACCGUGGAGGGCCAUUGGAAACUGGGGAGCUUGAGUACAGAAGAGGAGAGUGGAAUUCCACGUGUAGCGGUGAAAUGCGUAGAUAUGUGGAGGAACACCAGUGGCGAAGGCGACUCUCUGGUCUGUAACUGACGCUGAGGCGCGAAAGCGUGGGUAGCAAACAGGAUUAGAUACCCUGGUAGUCCACGCCGUAAACGUUGAGUGCUA
This 617-nucleotide non-coding RNA is filed under the name Pontibacillus yanchengensis Y32. RNAcentral's name for it is "Bacterial small subunit ribosomal RNA". It matches the Rfam family "Bacterial small subunit ribosomal RNA", at positions 209 to 818 of the family's 1533-position model. The record is from Rfam by way of RNAcentral. Lineage: Bacteria; Bacillati; Bacillota; Bacilli; Caryophanales; Bacillaceae.